GGACGGAGAAAAUUUACCAUAUGUGGGUACUGGUUACGGCGGGCUGGUACUCCAGCCGAAAUGGAUGGUGGUGGAUACUGAAAUAAAGCAUUUUUCAUGUAAUAUCAUCAUCCAUUUACCAAAGAAAUAUAGGGUGACUGGUAAUUAGUGAACGAUAUUUAAACACGUGAUUGUACUCAUGAUUACAAACAACUUUCCCAAAGAAACUUUUUUUGUAUACUCAUUA
Molecule: long non-coding RNA, 226 nt
Organism: Spodoptera frugiperda (fall armyworm)
Lineage: Eukaryota; Metazoa; Arthropoda; Insecta; Lepidoptera; Noctuidae
Exons: 2
Source: RefSeq, a predicted model, not a curated record